This 494-nucleotide ribosomal RNA is filed under the name uncultured bacterium. Its description in RNAcentral is "partial 16S ribosomal RNA". It matches the Rfam family "Bacterial small subunit ribosomal RNA", at positions 28 to 507 of the family's 1533-position model. The record is from RNAcentral.
GACGAACGCUGGCGGCGUGCUUAACACAUGCAAGUCGAACGGUGAAGCGCCUUCCUUUUUGGUGGGUGUGGAUGAGUGGCGAACGGGUGAGUAACACGUGAGUAACCUGCCCCCUUCUUCUGGAUAACCGCAUGAAAGUGUGGCUAAUACGGGAUAUUCUGGGUCUGUCGCAUGAUGGUUCUGGGAAAGAUCUGGUUUCGGUGGGGGAUGGGCUCGCGGCCUAUCAGCUUGUUGGUGGGGUGAUGGCCUACCAAGGCGGUGACGGGUAGCCGGCCUGAGAGGGUGGACGGUCACACUGGGACUGAGACACGGCCCAGACUCCUACGGGAGGCAGCAGUGGGGAAUAUUGCACAAUGGGCGCAAGCCUGAUGCAGCGACGCCGCGUGAGGGAUGGAGGCCUUCGGGUUGUGAACCUCUUUCGCCAGUGAAGCAGGCCUGCCUCGUUUGUGGGUGGGUUGACGGUAGCUGGAUAAGAAGCGCCGGCUAACUACGUG